RNAcentral lists this microRNA precursor (89 nucleotides) under Phlebotomus papatasi. RNAcentral describes it as "microRNA mir-186". The record is from RNAcentral. Lineage: Eukaryota; Metazoa; Arthropoda; Insecta; Diptera; Psychodidae.
UCAAAACAUGUUUACAAACAAAAGUUAUUGUGCGUUGGACAUUAUCCUUAUGCCCAACACACAAUAACUUUUGUUUGUAAAUAUGUUUU